AUUGAACGCUGGCGGCAGGCCUAACACAUGCCAGUCGAACGGUAACAGAAAGCAGCUUGCUGCUUUGCUGACGAGUGGCGGACGGGUGAGUAAUGUCUGGGAAACUGCCUGAUGGAGGGGGAUAACUACUGGAAACGGUAGCUAAUACCGCAUAACGUCGCAAGACCAAAGAGGGGGACCUUCGGGCCUCUUGCCAUCGGAUGUGCCCAGAUGGGAUUAGCUAGUAGGUGGGGUAACGGCUCACCUAGGCGACGAUCCCUAGCUGGUCUGAGAGGAUGACCAGCCACACUGGAACUGAGACACGGUCCAGACUCCUACGGGAGGCAGCAAUGGGGAAUAUUGCACAAUGGGCGCAAGCCUGAUGCAGCCAUGCCGCGUGUAUGAAGAAGGCCUUCGGGUUGUAAAGUACUUUCAGCGGGGAGGAAGGGAGUAAAGUUAAUACCUUUGCUCAUUGACGUUACCCGCAGAAGAAGCACCGGCUAACUCCGUG
This 490-nucleotide ribosomal RNA is filed under the name uncultured bacterium. RNAcentral describes it as "partial 16S ribosomal RNA". It matches the Rfam family "Bacterial small subunit ribosomal RNA", at positions 30 to 507 of the family's 1533-position model. The record is from RNAcentral.